UGUGGUUUUAUUGCCAUGCUGGA
Molecule: small nuclear RNA, 23 nt
Filed under: Arabidopsis thaliana (thale cress)
Lineage: Eukaryota; Viridiplantae; Streptophyta; Magnoliopsida; Brassicales; Brassicaceae
Description: snRNA_03050
Source: RNAcentral